CAGGUCGACCACGGGAGCCCGCGGCAGCGGGCUGAGAAAGGGCUGGAGCCGCCCUGACCGUCAUACCUGAUCCGGGUCAUACCGGCGGAGGGACGUCCGGCCGACCCGGA
Molecule: non-coding RNA, 110 nt
Filed under: Austwickia chelonae
Lineage: Bacteria; Bacillati; Actinomycetota; Actinomycetes; Micrococcales; Dermatophilaceae
Also listed under: 1 other name
Description: TPP sequence
Rfam family: TPP riboswitch aptamer (THI element)
About the family: Vitamin B(1) in its active form thiamin pyrophosphate (TPP) is an essential coenzyme that is synthesised by coupling of pyrimidine and thiazole moieties in bacteria. The previously detected thiamin-regulatory element, thi box was extended, resulting in a new, highly conserved RNA secondary structure, the THI element, which is widely distributed in eubacteria and also occurs in some archaea. Analysis of operon structures identified a large number of new candidate thiamin-regulated genes, mostly transporters, in various prokaryotic organisms.
Source: RNAcentral